This is a non-coding RNA of Pantoea sp., 135 nucleotides long. NCBI's taxonomy places the organism in Bacteria, Pseudomonadati, Pseudomonadota, Gammaproteobacteria, Enterobacterales, Erwiniaceae. The record is from Rfam.
CAAGACGAUCCAGUAGCGGAUUUUUUGCUCACAGAGCAGGUCAUUAACCUUGAAAAUUUGAGGCAUGACCUCAUUUUAAUCUCCAGUAGCAUUUUGACCUGUAAUGGGAGGAAUCAUGCGUCUGGAUCGUCUUAC